ACGAGAAGUACCGUAUCAUGCCA
Molecule: non-coding RNA, 23 nt
Filed under: Arabidopsis thaliana (thale cress)
Lineage: Eukaryota; Viridiplantae; Streptophyta; Magnoliopsida; Brassicales; Brassicaceae
Source: RNAcentral